This 475-nucleotide unclassified non-coding RNA is filed under the name Hevea brasiliensis (rubber tree). The record is from RNAcentral. Lineage: Eukaryota; Viridiplantae; Streptophyta; Magnoliopsida; Malpighiales; Euphorbiaceae.
GCACAAACAGAAUCUAACUCUAGAGAUAGGACAAAACCAGUCAGAAUUUGCAACAUAGAAGGCCCUCCCUCCAACCUCGAUACUUCCGGUAAUGCCUCCGUUCAGCCUUUACCAUUUUAACCGGGCUACUGUUCCAUUCAGACUGUAAUACAGGAAAGGCAAAAGAACGUGUGCUUGUUGUGCUACUUUCUGAUCGAAGCGAGAUGCUUCCAGAAUAAGCUAUUGGCCCUGAGUAAGUAACAAGACUAGCAAGUGGAUCUACAGCAGAGAAACUAGACUCGCCAAUGUUGUGUGGGUUCUGACUUGAAACUAGUCUACUAUCUGAAGUUCUAUAGUCCAGAUUGGUUGAACCUUGAGUUCCAAUUACAGAAUCGCUUCUUCCAUGACACUCCUCUGUUUCUUCAUUGCUGGUCAUGGGUGCUGGAGAGUUUAAGUUGGGAUUUCCAUGAUGUUCUUCUUCACCAUUGGCCAUGGG